ACCAGUUUGGCCAUAUUUCAGAGCUGCAACAUCACUGGAAAAGGACGUAAGGCAGCUCUCACCUGCAAUAGUAGAAUCACCAGAGGUGCACGGAUGCCGCUCCUGGAUGCGGUAUAUGCAAUAAAAAAGAGAAGAAAAUAUGGCUCUCUUCGGUGAAAAAAUGAAAAACUUUAU
Bufo bufo (common toad) is the source of this 174-nucleotide long non-coding RNA. RefSeq lists it as uncharacterized. Lineage: Eukaryota; Metazoa; Chordata; Amphibia; Anura; Bufonidae. The record is from RefSeq and is a predicted model, not a curated record. The transcript has 3 exons.